Molecule: long non-coding RNA, 166 nt
Organism: Octopus sinensis (East Asian common octopus)
Lineage: Eukaryota; Metazoa; Mollusca; Cephalopoda; Octopoda; Octopodidae
Exons: 4
Source: RefSeq, a predicted model, not a curated record
UGGUGGUAAUGAUAACAGCUAGCUGUUUAGCUUAAUGGUAAAGCACUCAGCUGGAGUUUUGGGGGAUGUGGGGUCAAGUCACAUGGCUGUUUGUUGACAAAUUCUUCCGCUUUGUAAGGGUAAUUUACUCCUUAUUUCUGCUGUUCUAACGGAAAUACUGCAUUCG